UCCUAGCGCUGUGGAGGAAGCGGAGGGCAGUGGAGAAGAAGCGGCUUUGACCGGCUUCAGCUGAACAAGGAGAGAAAAGGUGGUACAUUAAAGCAGAGAAGGCCUCCUCCAACACGCCAAGGACCUGCCUGCUCUGCUGGAGACUGAGGCUGGCGACGCUGCCCUGAGCCGGUGCAGUCGCGGCCGUGACCGCCGGGCUGCAAGCCUGCUCUAUGGCGGCCUCCAUGAUCCGUCAGGCGCGCUCCAGAAGAGCGCACAAGUUUUGCAGUGAUCACUUUAUUAUAAGUUUGUUUGAUAUACUUUGAAAGUUUAGUAUUUCCCAUUUAAUUAUUAUUUUGAUUGUUUUAUUUUGUCUUGUAAUGGAGUACUUAAAACACAUUUUUGCUCCAACUGUUAGGUAAAGCACUCACUCAAGUCUAAAUAAAAGAAAGCAAAUGUGAGCAAAACCUAAAAGAAAUAAGCUUUUACCAAAGGCAGCAAUAAAAUGAAGCUUUUAGCUCAUACACAAUGUUGACAUCUGUAGUUAUAUUUUGAUAAAGACGGAAAAAAACACGCACUCGUAUACAGCGCAUGCAACAACAACAACAACAGACAUGGCUGUGGACGUGAAGUUAAAUCAUGAAAUGAAACCUAACCCGAGCAAAAACAAAUAUUAAUCCAGGAGAAUCUUGAUACCGAUUUCCUUGACCCAGCCAAACACAAAAGUUGUAGACCUCCGUGCUUUUCCAAGUUUUCAUUUGUUUUCUGUAUGUAGAAUGAUGUCUGGCACACCAAUUCCACGUCUGGAAAUGCGACCAACAGAUAAUCCUUCAGAUCACUCGCCAAAUCUUUUUUUGAUAACGUAUAUGAAUCUGAUUUUUUGCUCGGAUCUGAUUUUACUGGGGAAGAUCUAGGCCCCUUCUGUACUCCGAUAGUUUGCUGCACUGUAGCCAUGUUGAUUUGGUGACCCACCACUUCACUUACUUCCGUUCAAAGGUCACUUGACUGAAUACAACCUAUAUUUCUUUCAAUUUGAAUUAAAUUAGAUUUUCAGUUUACAACUUUAAGUCAAAAAUAUAGAAUUGAUCUUUUAAACCAAGACCAGGGGCUUCUUCACAAUUGUAGCAACGAGCGAACGUCUCAGCGAGGAUUGAAAGUCAAGUAAGAUACCAUUCAAACUACCUGUCAGUGUGUCCUGCUGCUCUUGGCUCAGAUCGCUGCCAGGGGGUUCCUCCAAACCCAUCCUGACCUCCACGCACGCCCGAUUCACCAGGAGGCAGCAGAACUUUGGUGGUCCAGCCAGCUCCCAUCCGUACAAAUCAAGCAGACAUGCGCUGAGGACUAAAACUGGCCCGAUCUGUCUGGGUGUCAUCUUAGCCUGCAUCAUGGGUUGCAGUUCCCCCCACACUCGGCUCACAAAUUCCCUCAGCGUCUCCCUUUCGACUGUUACUCCUACCGGGGGGAGGAACUGGACCAACUGGGAGCACAUGCCCAGCCUGGUCUGUCCCGUGGCUGUGCAGAAGUCUUCGGACAUUGUCACUAGCAGACUCAACAGUUCAGAGGAGUGUUUGCUCCACGCUUUCUCUUUGGUUUUACCGGAGAGGAGGCAACCCAGCAAGGGAAUGCCCAUCUUCUGGCUGAAGGUCUGGUUCUGUUCCACGGCCUGGCAGAGAGCGGGAACGGCGCCCCGGCUCAACAGCUGGUCGGGACCUCUGGGUAAGGCGUGUACAGCUGUCAGCACCUGGUAGCAGUCGGAAGCCAUGGCUUCAUCAAGCUUUGCUGGAGGAUGAUUCUCAGGACCCUUCUCCCUCUGCUCACGGCUCGUUGGACCACGUGCGAGGAUUUCCAGCAGUAACGGGACUGUAGCGAGCAGCUGAGGCUGAGAGGCCAUCUCCGGAUCGGUGCUCAGGGCAGACAACAGAGCCGUACCCAAAGACAGGAGCUCAUGGACGGGCAAGCUGGGUUCCCCGCUGCCCUUCACUGCGGUCACCAGCAGCCGAGCGGGAAGGUUAAGACCCACCGCCUCAAAUAUGCGCCGCAAGGUGGGUUUGUCCAGUUGACAGGCUGGGCACAAACGUGUGAUC
Molecule: long non-coding RNA, 2063 nt
Organism: Nerophis ophidion (straightnose pipefish)
Lineage: Eukaryota; Metazoa; Chordata; Actinopteri; Syngnathiformes; Syngnathidae
Exons: 4
Source: RefSeq, a predicted model, not a curated record